CCUACGGGAGGCAGCAGUGAGGAAUAUUGGUCAAUGGCCGAGAGGCUGAACCAGCCAAGUCGCGUGAGGGAAGACGGCCCUACGGGUUGUAAACCUCUUUUGUCGGGGAGCAAAGCGAGUCACGUGUGACUCAUUGAGAGUACCCGAAGAAAAAGCAUCGGCUAACUCCGUGCCAGCAGCCGCGGUAAUACGGAGGAUGCGAGCGUUAUCCGGAUUUAUUGGGUGUAAAGGGUGCGCAGGCGGAGGUGCAAGUCAGCGGUCAAAUUGCGGGGCUCAACCCCGUACUGCCGUUGAAACUGCAGCCCUUGAGUGCGCGAGAAGUAUGCGGAAUGCGUGGGGUAGCGGUGAAAUGCAUAGAUAUCACGCAGAACUCCGAUUGCGAAGGCAGCAUACCGGCGCGCAACUGACGCUCAUGCACGAAAGCGUGGGUAUCGAACAGGAUUAGAUACCCGUGUAGUC
This 459-nucleotide ribosomal RNA is filed under the name uncultured bacterium. RNAcentral's name for it is "partial 16S ribosomal RNA". It matches the Rfam family "Bacterial small subunit ribosomal RNA", at positions 338 to 795 of the family's 1533-position model. The record is from RNAcentral.